Long non-coding RNA from Tribolium castaneum (red flour beetle), 825 nucleotides. RefSeq lists it as uncharacterized. The transcript is spliced from 2 exons. NCBI's taxonomy places the organism in Eukaryota, Metazoa, Arthropoda, Insecta, Coleoptera, Tenebrionidae. The record is from RefSeq and is a predicted model, not a curated record.
CUAAAACCAUUCGUGACACAAGAGAACGUCUUAUAAAAUUCGUAUAAAAAUAUACUAUUGAGGGUUGUAGGUGGUCACCUUUCGGAAUAUUCAGUGGCGCCCCCAACGUUAAUUUUACAACUUACAACUUUGUUUACCAAAUCACAACGAAUACGCAACAACUCCACGAAUUAGAAUUACGCAUUCAGCAGUUGCUUGUUGGCUAUAACGGAGUGAUGUGGUGUAGCGAGACUGAUGUGUUUCAAGCUGCAAAACAUUGCUCAUAACAAGAUUAUGAACAGGACCAAUAGGGAAACAUAUGCAGUGGAGACAUCAUUUCGACAAGAAGCCUUUAUCGUGUAAGCAUAUUCUGACGAUGGUUAAACACGGUAACAGGGCUUUCCACUGUGUAGUGGAUAAAACGAGAACGGGCGGAAAAUUGAGUCUUUAUUUUAAUUAAAUACUAGAUAGUUAGAAGAAACAGAUCGGGAAACUUAAUAGAAUUUGGAGACUUAAUAAAAUUAAAAUGUAAAAUUGUGUUUUUGUUAAACUGCCACUAAAAAUGAUUCAAAACACCAUUUUGCUAAAAAUUGCUAAAAUUGAACUUUUUAAGUGCUUUUGGCGCGUAUUCUGUAUUGAAAUCAUUAAAAUUUAAAGGCCGUUAAUCGUUGUUGUAGCAAUAACCAAUAAAAUUUAUAUAUUUGCGAUUUUGGCCAAUAUUAAAUUUUAACAGCUCGUUAAAAAAGUUACAGAAUAAGGCUUUUCAACUCUGCGUUCGUUGAGCAAAGUUCCCCAAUCUUAAAGGAAACAUUUUUACAAGUAAAUACUUUUAUUUGACUUGCUUUA